UUAAAUUUUUUAAACAAACAGACCCUCUUACUUAUGAGAAUGAGUUAAUGGACUGAAAAUUCUAAUGUCACUUGAAUUGCAUUCGAUGGCCCAACAGACCCAACCAUUGAGGUUGUGAAUUUUCAAGUUUUCCUUUUACUUUACUUUGAAGCCAUUGUUUUCUAGCUUUCCUUUGCCAACAUCUAUUUCUCCAUCAUGGAACAGACAACUCAGUGACUUUGCUCUUCAAUCAGUCAUCUUCUUGGCGUUAAGGAACAUCAAGUACACAAAUUUGAAACUCCAUGAUAUUUGUUGCACGUGUGAAGUGAUUCCUCAUGGACAAUCAGCUUCAAAGACAACAAACAUCUUUCAAGUUAUCUAGCCAAUUUUUGACAGCAUGGUUUGUGAUCUGUUUCUCUUCAGCAUCAUUUAGUAUUGCUUGAAGACUCAACAGUGUUGUUUUUAGCUUUU
Molecule: long non-coding RNA, 450 nt
Organism: Cicer arietinum (chickpea)
Lineage: Eukaryota; Viridiplantae; Streptophyta; Magnoliopsida; Fabales; Fabaceae
Source: RefSeq, a predicted model, not a curated record